AGCGAACGUUAGCGGCGCGCUUAACACAUGCAAGUCGUACGAGAAAGGGCUUCGGCCCCGGUAAAGUGGCGCACGGGUGCGUAACACGUAGGUAAUCUGCCCUCAAGCGGGGGAUAACUUCCCGAAAGGGAUGCUAAUACCGCAUAAGACCACGGCCAGUUCGCUGGACGCGGUAAAAGCUGGCCUCUGCACGCAAGCUAGCACUUGAGGAUGAGCCUGCGGCCUAUCAGCUAGUUGGUAAGGUAACGGCUUACCAAGGCUAGGACGGGUAGCUGGUCUGAGAGGAUGAUCAGCCACACUGGUACUGAAACACGGGCCAGACUCCUACGGGUGGCAG
RNAcentral lists this ribosomal RNA (337 nucleotides) under uncultured Pseudomonadota bacterium. RNAcentral's name for it is "bacterial SSU rRNA". It matches the Rfam family "Bacterial small subunit ribosomal RNA", at positions 29 to 351 of the family's 1533-position model. The record is from RNAcentral. Lineage: Bacteria; Pseudomonadati; Pseudomonadota.